UACGUAGGGUGCAAGCGUUAAUCGGAAUUACUGGGCGUAAAGCGUGCGCAGGCGGUUAUGCAAGACAGAUGUGAAAUCCCCGGGCUCAACCUGGGAAUUGCGUUCGAUACUGGAUAGCUAGAGUUCGGCAGAGGGAAGCGGAAUUUCGGGUGUAGCGGUGAAAUGCGUAGAUAUCCGAAGGAACAUCAGUGGCGAAAGCGGCUUCCUGGACCAGAACUGACGAUCAGGCACGAAAGCGUGGGGAGCAAACAGG
This 253-nucleotide ribosomal RNA is filed under the name uncultured bacterium. RNAcentral's name for it is "partial 16S ribosomal RNA". It matches the Rfam family "Bacterial small subunit ribosomal RNA", at positions 524 to 776 of the family's 1533-position model. The record is from RNAcentral.